RNAcentral lists this transfer RNA (63 nucleotides) under Alleculinae sp. BMNH 1042437. RNAcentral describes it as "tRNA-Phe". The record is from RNAcentral. Lineage: Eukaryota; Metazoa; Arthropoda; Insecta; Coleoptera; Tenebrionidae.
ACUUAAAUAGCUUAUUUAGAGCGUAACACUGAAGAUGUUAAGGAAACUUUUAGUUUUUAAGUA